This 523-nucleotide ribosomal RNA is filed under the name uncultured bacterium. RNAcentral's name for it is "bacterial SSU rRNA". It matches the Rfam family "Bacterial small subunit ribosomal RNA", at positions 355 to 870 of the family's 1533-position model. The record is from RNAcentral.
UGGGGAAUAUUGGACAAUGGGGGCAACCCUGAUCCAGCGACGCCGCGUGGGUGAAGAAGGCCUGCGGGUUGUAAAGCCCUUUCGGUUGGGAAGAAAAGCUGUGACCUAACACGUCGCGGCCUUGACGUAACCAACUAAAGAAGCACCGGCUAACUCUGUGCCAGCAGCCGCGGUAAUACAGAGGGUGCGAGCGUUAAUCGGAAUUACUGGGCGUAAAGCGCGCGUAGGCGGCUUUGUAAGUCGGUUGUGAAAUCCCCGGGCUUAACCUGGGAACUGCAUCCGAGACUGCAUAGCUAGAGUAUGGGAGAGGGAAGUGGAAUUUCAGGUGUAGCGGUGAAAUGCGUAGAUAUCUGAAGGAACAUCAGUGGCGAAAGCGACUUCCUGGACCAAUACUGACGCUCAUGUGCGAAAGCGUGGGGAGCAAACAGGAUUAGAUACCCUGGUAGUCCACGCCAUAAACGAUGAGAACUGGAUGUCGGAGGGGUCUGCCCUUCGGUGUCGUAGCUAACGCGUUAAGUUCUCC